GAGGGAUGGCUGAGUGGUCGAAAGCGGCGGUCUUGAAAACCGUUGAGGGUAACACCUCCGUGGGUUCGAAUCCUA
This 75-nucleotide transfer RNA is filed under the name marine eukaryotic metagenome. It matches the Rfam family "tRNA", at positions 2 to 62 of the family's 71-position model. From Rfam's summary of the family: Transfer RNA (tRNA) molecules are approximately 80 nucleotides in length. Their secondary structure includes four short double-helical elements and three loops (D, anti-codon, and T loops). Further hydrogen bonds mediate the characteristic L-shaped molecular structure. tRNAs have two regions of fundamental functional importance: the anti-codon, which is responsible for specific mRNA codon recognition, and the 3' end, to which the tRNAs corresponding amino acid is attached (by aminoacyl-tRNA synthetases). tRNAs cope with the degeneracy of the genetic code in two manners: having more than one tRNA (with a specific anti-codon) for a particular amino acid; and 'wobble' base-pairing, i.e. permitting non-standard base-pairing at the 3rd anti-codon position. The record is from RNAcentral.